Molecule: non-coding RNA, 335 nt
Organism: Pelobates cultripes (western spadefoot toad)
Lineage: Eukaryota; Metazoa; Chordata; Amphibia; Anura; Pelobatidae
Source: the annotation of a GenBank genome assembly
GAUAGUAUAUGAUAUAUUCUGGUAGGAACACAUUGAUUGGAUAGUGUCUGGUAUAUUCUGGUAGGAACACAUUGAAUGGAUAGUGUCUGGUAUAUUCUGGUAUGAACACAUUGAAUGGAUAGUGUCUGGUAGGAACACAUUGAUUGGAUAGUGUCUGAUAUAUUCUGGUAGGAACACAUUGAUUGGAUAGUGUAUGGUAUAUUCUGGUAGGAACACAUUGAAUGGAUAGUGUCUGGUAGGAACACAUUGAUUGGAUAGUGUAUGGUAUAUUCUGGUAGGAACACAUUGAUUGGAUAGUGUCUGGUAGGAACACAUUGAUUGGAUAGUGUCUGAUA